Molecule: long non-coding RNA, 714 nt
Filed under: Sus scrofa (pig)
Lineage: Eukaryota; Metazoa; Chordata; Mammalia; Artiodactyla; Suidae
Description: lncRNA (ENSSSCG00070002868.1)
Source: RNAcentral
CAUUUUAAAUAGGAAGUUUCAAUAGAUCUGAAUUCUCCCUCUAGUUCUCCCUCAUGAUGUUUACAUUUACCUUUUUUUUUUUUUUUUUAUUUUAUUGCAGCCAGUCUUCGGAAAACAAAUGGAGAACUUCAGGAUGAAAACGCCAGUCUUCGGAAAACAAAUGGAGAACUUCAGGAUGAAAACGCCAGUCUUCGGAAAACAAAUGGAGAACUUCAGGAUGAAAACGCCAGUCUUCGGAAAACAAAUGGUAACAUUUCUGAUAUCCCAUCACCCCAGUGCUCUUGAGCCCCUCUGAAGCGACUGGUUCAGCCUUUCCUCUUGUCUGCCGUUUCAUCUGUUUCGCUUGUGUCGGCAUGCCUUUCUCUUGCACGUCCUGUCUACGAGCUCCACCUCAAUGUUUUGCGUGGGACUUGUCCCACGUUCCUUCUGUCCAUUUCUGUUUGCCUACCUCCUCUGCUCUGCCAUUCCUGCUCUUUGCAAUGCAUGCCAUGCCCUCCCGCUAAGGACUGGCUUUGCUUCGGUCUUUCAGGCACUUGCCACAGUUUCAUGAAGUUGGUGAGAUGCAAAGCAUUACGCAGAUAGGGAGAUGGUUUCUCUUCCACGUGUGUUUCUCAACAACAUCCAAACACAGGGGCUCUGUCGGGACUUCCAAGUCAGAGGGGCCAUUCCUGCACAAGGGAUAGCUCUUCAAAGACUUAAGAGAUGGGAGAUGGC